CACACGACUACGAGUUUGAUCCUGGCUCAGAACGAACGCUGGCGGCAUGCCUAACACAUGCAAGUCGAACGAAGGCUUCGGCCUUAGUGGCGCACGGGUGCGUAACGCGUGGGAACCUGCCCCUCGGUUCGGAAUAACAGUUAGAAAUGACUGCUAAUACCGGAUGAUGACUUCGGUCCAAAGAUUUAUCGCCGAGGGAUGGGCCCGCGUAGGAUUAGCUAGUUGGUGGGGUAAAGGCCUACCAAGGCGACGAUCCUUAGCUGGUCUGAGAGGAUGAUCAGCCACACUGGGACUGAGACACGGCCCAGACUCCUACGGGAGGCAGCAGUGGGGAAUAUUGGACAAUGGGCGAAAGCCUGAUCCAGCAAUGCCGCGUGAGUGAUGAAGGCCUUAGGGUUGUAAAGCUCUUUUACCAGGGAUGAUAAUGACAGUACCUGGAGAAUAAGCUCCGGCUAACUCCGUG
This 463-nucleotide ribosomal RNA is filed under the name uncultured bacterium. RNAcentral describes it as "bacterial SSU rRNA". It matches the Rfam family "Bacterial small subunit ribosomal RNA", at positions 1 to 507 of the family's 1533-position model. The record is from RNAcentral.